Molecule: ribosomal RNA, 1342 nt
Filed under: Pseudoneureclipsis sibuyana
Lineage: Eukaryota; Metazoa; Arthropoda; Insecta; Trichoptera; Polycentropodidae
Description: 16S ribosomal RNA
Source: RNAcentral
UUUUAAUUUACUAUUUAAUUUUUUAGGUUUACGUUUUUUGUUAUUUUAUGAUAAAAUUUAUUUUUGUUUAUUUUUGUAUUAGUAUUAUUUUAGAAAGUAUAAUUUAAUUUUAUAGUUAAUUUUUACAUUGAUGGAUUAUUGAAAUAAUUUAUUUAUUUUGUUAUUUAGUGAAAGAGGAAAAUUUUUUUGUAUUUUGUGUAUCAAAGUUUAUUAAUUGGUUUGUUUAAAUUAUCUGUUCUCGAAUUUUAAAGAGAUAGAUAUUUUAUAUGUUUAUUGUGGAAUAAAUAUUUUUUAUUUUUAUUUUGGAGUAAAAAGUUAUUCGGUUUGGAAUAUAUCUAGUUUUUGAAUUUAAAAUUAAAUUUUAUUUAUUAAUUUAGUAUUUGAUUUAUUUGUUGGUUUUUUAUUAUUAAUAAAUUAAUUGUAUUUGGGAUAAUCUUGAUACUGUUAUUUUAUAUAUUUAUUGAUGUUUUUAUUUAUUGGUAGGAUUUAAAUGAUUAUAAUUUUUAUUUUUGUUUAUAAUAAAAAUUUUAUUUAGAGUUUGAAUAUUUAAUUUGGGAUUAAUUUUUUGGUUUGGGGGAUUUAUUUAAUUUUGUAUUUAAUAGUUAUAAUGAUGAAAUUAGUAUUGAUGUAAGGUAUUUAAUUUUGGGAUUAUGGUCUGGUAAUUAAGUUUAAUUAAUUUGGCAAUUUUUUAUGUUCAACUGUUUAUCAAAAACAUUUUUUUUUGAUUUUAAUUUAAAGUAGGGUCUGCCCACUGAAUUUAUUUUUGAAGGGCUGCAUUUAUAUGUACUAAGGUAGCAUAAUAAAUAGUUUUUUAAUUGGGAACUGGAAUGAAUGAUUUAAUGAAAUAUAAGUUGUAUCUAAUUUAUUUUUAGGAAUUUUAUUAUUUAAUGAAAAGGUUAAAUUUAAAGUGAAAGACGAGAAGACCCUAUAGAUUUUUAUUGGAGUAAUUUUAUUUUUUAGAAUUAUUUUUAGUUUGGUUGGGGUGAUUUUAAAAUUGAUUGAACUUUUAAAUUUAUUUUUAUUUAUUGUUUUAUAUUUAUUUUUAUGUUUGAAAUUUAUUUUUUAUUUAUUUAUUUAAGUUACCUUAGGGAUAACAGCGUAAUUUAAAUUUUAAGUUCUUAUUGAAAUUUGAGUUUGCGACCUCGAUGUUGGAUUAGAAAUUAUUUUGGGUGGAAAAGCUUGAAUUAUUUAGUCUGUUCGAUUAUUAUUAUUCUACAUGAUCUGAGUUCAAACCGGUGUGAGCCAGGUUGGUUUCUAUCUUUACUUAUUAGUUAUUUUUUAGUACGAAAGGAAAAUUUAUAUUAAAUGUUUAUUUUGUAUUGAAUUUGAUUAUAAUUAAUUU